AUACGGAGGGUGCAAGCGUUAUCCGGAAUCAUUGGGUUUAAAGGGUUCGUAGGCGGAUUGGUAAGUCAGUGGUGAAAGUCUGCAGCUUAACUGUAGAAUUGCCAUUGAUACUGCUAGUCUUGAAUUACUGUGAAGUGAUUAGAAUGUGUAGUGUAGCGGUGAAAUGCAUAGAUAUUACACAGAAUACCAAUUGCGAAGGCAGAUCACUAACAGUAUAUUGACGCUGAGGGACGAAAGCGUGGGGAGCGAACAGGAUUAGAUACCCUUGUAGUCC
This 274-nucleotide ribosomal RNA is filed under the name uncultured bacterium. Its description in RNAcentral is "partial 16S ribosomal RNA". It matches the Rfam family "Bacterial small subunit ribosomal RNA", at positions 523 to 796 of the family's 1533-position model. The record is from RNAcentral.